UGGAGUUGUGCCAAGGGCCCUGCAGGUGAGGUGAUCACUCUCUGCGAUCAUGAGAACUUCAUGAAGGAUCCUCCCAAUAUCUGUCCCCCAAAACACUGAGAAUGGCUGUAAACCUCUGCAAACUCUUAACCCUUCUUAAGUUACAGAAUCUAGGAAGGAGAUCAGCAAUCAAGAGCAAAUAAACUUUAUCCCUUUAAUCAAGUCCUUCUAUCCACCUUUGUAUUACACAGAUGAUUGCGUAAUUCUAUCCUUUGCCUCACGAGGUAUUGUCUUGGCAAGCACCUACAGACAGCCAAAGCCAUAGCAACUUGGGUGCUUCCUGCUGCUGCUAAUGGGGAACAGGUAUCCUAUUGCUCUAGCCCAACUCACCCUGCCCCCUUCACCAGCUGUAUUUCUUCCUUCCUUUGUUGCUUUCAUCUUUAAUGGUGUUGCCACAGCAACCAUUGUCACCAGAAGAAGGAAGAUACUGUCACCCUCCCCGCUCCACCAGUGAGCUAGAACUAUCUUUGGGAAGGAUAAAUAUCCAGAUUUCACCAUACUCUUCAUCACACUGGGCUUUUUAAAGAAGGAUCACAGCCUACAAAGCAAACACUCAGCUGGAGGGCUUUGUGUGGGAGAAAAGCAUCACCAAGGACAACAGAAUGGAUCCUCUUCCUCCCAGACUCUAAUCCUCACUUGGAAGUCAAGCAGCCAGGUGAAGGACUAAAUAUCUAGAGUCUGCCUGAUCAUCCAGUGCACCAACUUUACUUUAAUACCAGCUUUCCUGCCCUGAGUCCUCCGAAUCAGAGUUGAGAGAACUGCUGCCAUAGUUUAGAAAUAAAAAUUCUCUUUCUGA
Molecule: long non-coding RNA, 835 nt
Organism: Ochotona princeps (American pika)
Lineage: Eukaryota; Metazoa; Chordata; Mammalia; Lagomorpha; Ochotonidae
Exons: 3
Source: RefSeq, a predicted model, not a curated record